CAUGCAGUCGAGCGGAACGACGGGAGCUUGCUCCCGGGCGUCGAGCGGCGGACGGGUGAGUAAUGCAUAGGAAUCUGCCCGGUAGUGGGGGAUAACCUGGGGAAACUCAGGCUAAUACCGCAUACGUCCUACGGGAGAAAGCAGGGGACCUUCGGGCCUUGCGCUAUCGGAUGAGCCUAUGUCGGAUUAGCUGGUUGGUGAGGUAAUGGCUCACCAAGGCGACGAUCCGUAGCUGGUCUGAGAGGAUGAUCAGCCACAUCGGGACUGAGACACGGCCCGAACUCCUACGGGAGGCAGCAGUGGGGAAUAUUGGACAAUGGGGGCAACCCUGAUCCAGCCAUGCCGCGUGUGUGAAGAAGGCCCUCGGGUUGUAAAGCACUUUCAGUGGGGAAGAAGGCCUUGGGGUUAAUACCCCCGAGGAAGGACAUCACCCACAGAAGAAGCACCGGCUAACUCCGUGCCAGCAGCCGCGGUAAUACGGAGGGUGCGAGCGUUAAUCGGAAUUACUGGGCGUAAAGCGCGCGUAGGCGGCGUGAUAAGCCGGUUGUGAAAGCCCCGGGCUCAACCUGGGAAUGGCAUCCGGAACUGUCAGGCUAGAGUGCAGGAGAGGAAGGUAGAAUUCCCGGUGUAGCGGUGAAAUGCGUAGAGAUCGGGAGGAAUACCAGUGGCGAAGGCGGCCUUCUGGACUGACACUGACGCUGAGGUGCGAAAGCGUGGGUAGCAAAACAGGAUUAGAUACCCUGGUAGUCCACGCCGUAAAACGAUGUCGACUAGCCGUUGGGGUCCUCGAGACCUUUUGUGGCGCAGUUAACGCGAUAAGUCGACCGCCUGGGGAGUACGGCCCGCAAGGUUAAAACUCAAAUGAAUUGACGGGGGCCCGCACCA
This 885-nucleotide ribosomal RNA is filed under the name Halomonas sp. RNAcentral's name for it is "bacterial SSU rRNA". It matches the Rfam family "Bacterial small subunit ribosomal RNA", at positions 54 to 928 of the family's 1533-position model. The record is from RNAcentral. Lineage: Bacteria; Pseudomonadati; Pseudomonadota; Gammaproteobacteria; Oceanospirillales; Halomonadaceae.